This is a long non-coding RNA of Ailuropoda melanoleuca (giant panda), 727 nucleotides long. RefSeq lists it as uncharacterized. The transcript has 3 exons. Lineage: Eukaryota; Metazoa; Chordata; Mammalia; Carnivora; Ursidae. The record is from RefSeq and is a predicted model, not a curated record.
CCGCCCAUUCGCUCCCCCAGCCUCGCCCACACUGUCCCUCCGCCACGCCCCUGUCCGCCAAUGAAUGAGGCCGUUGGCCACCCUGCCCCGCCCCCGGCAUCUCGGCUUGGCCCAAUAAGGACCACCCGGAGGGUUUAACCGCUUCGCCUCCGGGGCUCUGGCCAAAUACCCCCGGUCUUUCCCCGCUCUUCCCCCUCCCCCACCUGUUCUGCUCCGCCCUCCGACACCCUCGCCUGGCCCUCCAGUCCGCCACGCAACUUCAGUCGUCGCCGGUUGCCAUGGCAACGGCGGCAGCAGCUCGGGGAGAAGGGGGAGGGACGGGGGCGGAGUGGGAGAGAGAGAUUCUCAGAGACAGACACCGGCAGAGACACCGGCGCGGAGUAAGACUCAGUGAUCGCUAGGAAGGCAAGAGUUAGCGCAAAGCACAGGGCCUGGCGCAGGGUGACCACAGCCAGGGAACCUACGGCUGACGGGCAGGCUAAGGGCAGGAGACAGGAGAAGCAAAGGAUCAGACCGACACUAAGGAGACCAGGCCAGAGUACAAAGGGAUCACUCCAGGGGGCACCUGUGGCCAAACCCAGCAUUAUCUCAGAUGUGAACCCCAAAACUAAAUCAUGACCCCCAAAUACAUCUUCUGAUCCUGUCACUCCAGGGCCUCCAGCCCGAGAUGAGGCCUGCCUAACCCCUCCCCACAAACUCAUGCCCUCCUCCCAGUGUAUAGCCCCCC